UACGGAGGGUGCAAGCGUUAUCCGGAUUUACUGGGUUUAAAGGGUGCGUAGGUGGGUAGGUAAGUCAGUGGUGAAAUCUUCGAGCUUAACUCGGAAACUGCCAUUGAUACUAUUUAUCUUGAAUACUCUGGAGGUAAGCGGAAUAUGUCAUGUAGCGGUGAAAUGCUUAGAUAUGACAUAGAACACCAAUUACGAAGGCAGCUUACUACAUAGUUAUUGACACUGAGGCACGAAAGCGUGGGGAGCAAACAGG
RNAcentral lists this ribosomal RNA (253 nucleotides) under uncultured bacterium. Its description in RNAcentral is "partial 16S ribosomal RNA". It matches the Rfam family "Bacterial small subunit ribosomal RNA", at positions 524 to 776 of the family's 1533-position model. The record is from RNAcentral.